GAUGAACGCUGGCGGCGUGCCUAACACAUGCAAGUCGAGCGAACGGACGAGGAUCUUGCUGCUCUGAUGUUAGCGGCGGACGGGUGAGUAACACGUGGAUAACCUACCUAUAAGACUGGGAUAACUUCGGGAAACCGGAGUUAAUACCGGAUAAUAUUUUGAACCGCAUGGUUUAGAAGUGAAAGACGGUCUUGCUGUCACUUAUAGAUGGAUCCGCGCUGCAUUAGCUAGUUGGUAAGGUAACGGCUUACCAAGGCAACGAUGCGUAGCCGACCUGAGAGGGUGAUCGGCCACACUGGAGCUGAGACGCGGUCCAGACUACUACGGGAGGCAGCAGUAGGGAAUCUUCCGCAAUGGGCGAAAGCCUGACGGAGCAGCGCCGCGUGAGUGGUGAAGGUGUUCGGAUCGUGAAGCUCUGUUAUUGGGGGAGAACAUAUGUGUGAGUAGCUGUGCACAUCUUGACGGUACCUGAUCAGAAAGCCACGGCUAACUACGUG
Molecule: ribosomal RNA, 497 nt
Filed under: uncultured bacterium
Lineage: Bacteria
Description: partial 16S ribosomal RNA
Rfam family: Bacterial small subunit ribosomal RNA
Source: RNAcentral